Molecule: long non-coding RNA, 590 nt
Organism: Stegodyphus dumicola
Lineage: Eukaryota; Metazoa; Arthropoda; Arachnida; Araneae; Eresidae
Source: RefSeq, a predicted model, not a curated record
CACGAGAACAAAAAGACAGAAGGAGGAACGAAAAGAUUGCCACCAACAGAAGAAAUUCAAGCAAGAUUCCAGACCGGAGGCCGCCAAGACCAUCCGUCCAGGGGCAAAACGGAAAAGACAGGAACCCGAAGACUACCACUCCAAGAGGCCGGCGUACAGAGGCAGUGCCUCCUAGAUUAUAAAGCCAAUGGACAGGUUGUAGAAACAAGUGUGACGUCAAAGUUAGUAGGCCCACGUGAUGUUCUCGAGGUUUGGAUUCUCAAUUGGGAAGCCAUUGCUUUGCGGUGUACAUAGACUGGAAUGUUAGCACGUGCUGUCGGGGAGAAGAAAUACUUGAAAAUAUGCCAUUUAAAUGCUGUGUAACUGGUUGUCGGGGAAAUUAUAAAGGUACUGAAAAGGUGCAUACAUUUUUCCUUUCCCAAAAAAUGAUGCUCUUAGAGAGAGGUGGCUAAGAAAUAUACCUAGGAAGGACUUCUCAGCAACUCCAUAUUCUCGGGUGUGCCAUAAACAUUUUCAACCUGAUGACCUCAUCUGGGAAGCAUCAGCUUUCGAUGAAAAAAAAUGGGAAAAUCAUUAAAGCUUCACUGCAG